UAGGGAAUAUUGGGCAAUGGAGGAAACUCUGACCCAGCCAUGCCGCGUGAAGGAUGAAGGUCCUACGGAUUGUAAACUUCUUUUAUUAGGGAAGAAACGUCUCGAUUCAUCGGGAUUUGACGGUACCUAAGGAAUAAGCACCGGCUAACUCCGUGCCAGCAGCCGCGGUAAUACGGAGGGUGCAAGCGUUAUCCGGAUUCACUGGGUUUAAAGGGUGCGUAGGUGGAUUGAUAAGUCAGUGGUGAAAGCC
RNAcentral lists this ribosomal RNA (250 nucleotides) under uncultured bacterium. RNAcentral's name for it is "partial 16S ribosomal RNA". It matches the Rfam family "Bacterial small subunit ribosomal RNA", at positions 355 to 602 of the family's 1533-position model. The record is from RNAcentral.